This 456-nucleotide ribosomal RNA is filed under the name uncultured bacterium. RNAcentral describes it as "SSU rRNA". It matches the Rfam family "Bacterial small subunit ribosomal RNA", at positions 26 to 518 of the family's 1533-position model. The record is from RNAcentral.
AGAAUCAACGCUGGCGGCGUGCCUAACACAUGCAAGUCGCACGAGAAAGGGGCUUCGGCCCUGAGUAAAGUGGCGCACGGGUGAGUAACACGUGAAUGAUCUACCUCCGAGUGGGGAAUAACUGAGAGAAAUCUUAGCUAAUACCGCAUAACACUUACGAGUCAAAGCAGCAAUGCGCUUGGAGAGGAGUUCGCGGCAGAUUAGUUAGUUGGCGGGGUAAUGGCCCACCAAGACGAUGAUCUGUAUCCGGCCUGAGAGGGCGCACGGACACACUGGAACUGAAACACGGUCCAGACUCCUACGGGAGGCAGCAGUGGGGAAUUUUGCGCAAUGGGGGAAACCCUGACGCAGCAACGCCGCGUGGAGGAUGAAGUAUCUCGGUACGUAAACUCCUUUCGAUGGGAAGAUGAUGACGGUACCAUAGAAGAAGCCCGGCUAACUCGUGCCAGCAGCCGC